GGCUCUAUAGUUCAACGGCAGAACAGGAGAUUCAUACCCUCCAUAUGGAAGUUCAAUUCUUCCUAGAGUCA
RNAcentral lists this transfer RNA (71 nucleotides) under Synechococcus phage S-CRM01. It matches the Rfam family "tRNA". From Rfam's summary of the family: Transfer RNA (tRNA) molecules are approximately 80 nucleotides in length. Their secondary structure includes four short double-helical elements and three loops (D, anti-codon, and T loops). The record is from Rfam by way of RNAcentral. Lineage: Duplodnaviria; Heunggongvirae; Uroviricota; Caudoviricetes; Pantevenvirales; Kyanoviridae.